Caenorhabditis elegans is the source of this 21-nucleotide non-coding RNA. The record is from Ensembl. Lineage: Eukaryota; Metazoa; Nematoda; Chromadorea; Rhabditida; Rhabditidae.
UUGCAUAUGGAUUAGGCGUCA